AGGACGAACGCUGGCGGCGCGCUUAAUACAUGCAAGUCGAGCGAGAACCGGACCUUCGGGUCCGGGGAAAGCGGCGAACGGGUGAGUAACACGUGGGUAAUCUGCCCUCGGUACUGGGAUAGCCCGGGGAAACCCGGAUUAAUACCGGAUAGCCUUUCGAGCUCUCGGGCUCGUUAGAAAAUGGUGGCUUCGGCUUCCGACUGAGGAUGAGCCCGCGGCGGAUUAGCUUGUUGGUGAGGUAAUGGCUCACCAAGGCUCCGAUCCGUAGCUGGUCUGAGAGGACGAUCAGCCACACUGGGACUGAGACACGGCCCAGACUCCUACGGGAGCAGCAGUAGGAUCUUGCGCAAUGGG
RNAcentral lists this ribosomal RNA (354 nucleotides) under uncultured soil bacterium. Its description in RNAcentral is "bacterial SSU rRNA". It matches the Rfam family "Bacterial small subunit ribosomal RNA", at positions 26 to 375 of the family's 1533-position model. The record is from RNAcentral.